UAAAUAGCCAGGCCGGCUCUCGCUGGUCGCCGGCUUCUUAGAGGGACUGUCAGCGUCUAGCUGACGGAAGUUUGAGGCAAUAACAGGUCUGUGAUGCCCUUAGAUGUUCUGGGCCGCACG
Molecule: ribosomal RNA, 120 nt
Filed under: Agaricales sp.
Lineage: Eukaryota; Fungi; Basidiomycota; Agaricomycetes; Agaricales
Description: partial small subunit ribosomal RNA
Rfam family: Eukaryotic small subunit ribosomal RNA
Source: RNAcentral